CAGCACGCAUACGUAUCCAGUUUUUUACACCUGUAUUUCCACAAACAAUUUUGUGUUUUACCGACAGGUGCUAUGUACAGUGAGCGUUGAAUACUCAAGGAGUUCAUCUUGGUAAUUGGUGAAGUUCACGUUUGAAGUCGCCCUUAAUUGUACUGUAGCGGCUAGCCAAGCCCAGCAGGGGGAUUUCUGAUCGUCGUCAUCAACGAGCUCCAGACUGUUGAUUUGUAUAGGCUCCCCUAUAAUACAGACAAUUUCCCCAACAAACCUUUUUAACGGAUCGGAAUCAUCACCAGCAAUCAUCGUAUUUUAAAUAUUAAAACAACUGAAUAAUCACCAAACAGAAGCUGUUCCACAGCACAACCGUAUAAGCAACUAAACAAGAAGACAUAAAAAAUAAUGAGGUCUUUCAGAGAAUUGGCCAACGUUUUAAACUUUCUAUCUUUUAGAAGGCCUACUGCAGAUGGAUACGGCAGUUGGCGAAUAACGAAGUAUACACACUUACAAACGGCAAGAACAGAAAUGUGUACUGCCACUCGGGGAUCUUUUUCAUUUUGCGUAACAGAGCAAUACGGAUUUUUUUUUAUACCUUUGGAUGUCAUUGAACCACCAGAACAUGGAAACGAACGCUCAACAGCUACAAUAGCAGAAGAACUUAGCUUUGCGAACUGAGAAACCUCCAACCUGCUUCUUCGACUUAAAACCAGUAAAUUUGAAAGGUCAUUAACAAACAACUUUUGUAAACCUGUAGCAGAUGAAGAGUUUAAUUACGCAAUGAGUUUUGAC
Molecule: long non-coding RNA, 783 nt
Organism: Anneissia japonica
Lineage: Eukaryota; Metazoa; Echinodermata; Crinoidea; Comatulida; Comatulidae
Exons: 3
Source: RefSeq, a predicted model, not a curated record